This 445-nucleotide ribosomal RNA is filed under the name Vibrio sp. CR-II-E12. RNAcentral describes it as "bacterial SSU rRNA". It matches the Rfam family "Bacterial small subunit ribosomal RNA", at positions 202 to 643 of the family's 1533-position model. Lineage: Bacteria; Pseudomonadati; Pseudomonadota; Gammaproteobacteria; Vibrionales; Vibrionaceae. The record is from RNAcentral.
UCGGGCCUCUCGCGUCAGGAUAUGCCUAGGUGGGAUUAGCUAGUUGGUGAGGUAAUGGCUCACCAAGGCGACGAUCCCUAGCUGGUCUGAGAGGAUGAUCAGCCACACUGGAACUGAGACACGGUCCAGACUCCUACGGGAGGCAGCAGUGGGGAAUAUUGCACAAUGGGCGCAAGCCUGAUGCAGCCAUGCCGCGUGUGUGAAGAAGGCCUUCGGGUUGUAAAGCACUUUCAGUCGUGAGGAAGGUAGUGUAGUUAAUAGCUGCAUUAUUUGACGUUAGCGACAGAAGAAGCACCGGCUAACUCCGUGCCAGCAGCCGCGGUAAUACGGAGGGUGCGAGCGUUAAUCGGAAUUACUGGGCGUAAAGCGCAUGCAGGUGGUUUGUUAAGUCAGAUGUGAAAGCCCGGGGCUCAACCUCGGAAUUGCAUUUGAAACUGGCAGACUA